CCGCGUGCCCGAGAGGCUCUGGGAGAUGUUAUGUGGUCAACAGGGACUGAGGCUCUUUAAGCCCUUAAAUCUCUAAGGGCUAAAUCUCCUUCCUGAUAUUCGCCCCCAAACCGGCACCAAAGAAGGCCCAGAGAGGUUUAACAACUUCCUCAGAAUCACACAGCUUCCAAAUGGUUGGGUUGGGUUUACAUUUAGGCGGUCUUGCUCCAGAGCCAGUGCACCUAACCUUUGCAAGCCACGAACCUCAACAAAGUGGAGAAGGAAACGCUGGGAAAUUUGGAAGUCAGACAUGAGAGCUAAUGCUGGCAGCUGUUGGGAUGUCCUCUUCCAGGAAUGGUGAUGAGUUUCCCUGGAUCCAGCCCUGGC
RNAcentral lists this long non-coding RNA (366 nucleotides) under Pan troglodytes (chimpanzee). Its description in RNAcentral is "long non-coding RNA NONPTRT012255". The record is from RNAcentral. Lineage: Eukaryota; Metazoa; Chordata; Mammalia; Primates; Hominidae.